GAUGAAGAACGUAGCGAAAUGCGAUACUUGGUGUGAAUUGCAGAAUCCCGUGAACCAUCGAGUCUUUGAACGCAAGUUGCGCCCGAAGCCUCGGCUAAGGGCACGUCUGCCUGGGCGUCACGCAUCGCGUCUCCCCCAAACCGCCAAGGCGGAGGGGAAGGAAGAUGGCUUCCCGUGCCUCACCCGGCGCGGUUGGCCUAAAUUUGGAGCCCGCGGCACUUAGCUCUCGCGGCGAUAGGUGGUGAACAAGGCCUUGGCCGUGCAAACAACCCGCUGCGAAGCUCUAUGUCACGUGCGCUCGUCGGACCCUUUGAAGUUGCCUUCGGUGACUUAAAACCUUUGCGACCCCAGGUCAGGCGGGGCUACCCGCUGAAUUUAAGCAUAUCAAUAAGCGGAGGA
RNAcentral lists this unclassified non-coding RNA (399 nucleotides) under soil metagenome. RNAcentral's name for it is "partial contains 5.8S ribosomal RNA, internal transcribed spacer 2, and large subunit ribosomal RNA". The stretch from base 1 to 120 matches the Rfam family "5.8S ribosomal RNA", at positions 35 to 154 of the family's 154-position model. The record is from RNAcentral.